RNAcentral lists this ribosomal RNA (253 nucleotides) under uncultured bacterium. Its description in RNAcentral is "partial 16S ribosomal RNA". It matches the Rfam family "Bacterial small subunit ribosomal RNA", at positions 524 to 776 of the family's 1533-position model. The record is from RNAcentral.
GACGAAGGUGGCAAGCGUUGUUCGGAAUUACUGGGCAUAAAGCGCGUGUAGGCGGUCGAUUAAGUCUGAUGUGAAAGCCCUCGGCCCAACCGAGGAAUGGCGUCUGAUACUGAUCGACUUGAGAGUUGGAGGGGUGCACGGAAUACCUGGUGGAGCGGUGAAAUGCGUUGAUAUCAGGUGGAACACCAAAGGCGAAGGCAGUGCACUGGCCAAUUUCUGACGCUGAGAUGCGAAAGUAUGGGGAGCGAACGGG